Molecule: ribosomal RNA, 568 nt
Filed under: uncultured bacterium
Lineage: Bacteria
Description: partial 16S ribosomal RNA
Source: RNAcentral
GGAGUUAGCCGGUGCUUCUUCUGCGAGUAACGUCACAGAUGUAAGGUAUUAACUUACACCCUUUCCUCCUCGCUGAAAGUGCUUUACAACCCGAAGGCCUUCUUCACACACGCGGCAUGGCUGCAUCAGGGUUUCCCCCAUUGUGCAAUAUUCCCCACUGCUGCCUCCCGUAGGAGUCUGGGCCGUGUCUCAGUCCCAGUGUGGCUGAUCAUCCUCUCAGACCAGCUAGGGAUCGUCGCCUAGGUGAGCCUUUACCUCACCUACUAGCUAAUCCCACCUGGGCUUAUCCAUCAGCGCAAGGCCCGAAGGUCCCCUGCUUUCCCCCGUAGGGCGUAUGCGGUAUUAGCAGUCGUUUCCAACUGUUAUCCCCACAAACUGGGCAAAUUCCCAGGCAUUACUCACCCGUCCGCCGCUCGUCAUCUUCAAAAGCAAGCUUUUGAAUGUUACCUCUCGACUUGCUAUGUGUUAGGUCGUCGCCGCCACGCGUUCACUCUGACGCCGACGUAGUACUACUAACCUACUACGUACGUAGGACGGCGGGUCGGUCGGACGGACGGCGACGACGUAG